RNAcentral lists this long non-coding RNA (1098 nucleotides) under Equus asinus (donkey). RNAcentral's name for it is "lncRNA (ENSEASG00005024289.1)". The record is from RNAcentral. Lineage: Eukaryota; Metazoa; Chordata; Mammalia; Perissodactyla; Equidae.
GUCGGCUGCAGGAGAGGAGAGGGAGCCGGAAUCGCAGCCGAACCUAUCUCGCCUGCCCCGCAUGCGGGCCUGCGUGAAGUCAAGAGUGCUGGACUCCCGCGAAAGUGGCGGUGAGGCGCUUGGGCCCUGGCCUAGAGAUGCUGAAACUGAGGAUUUUUGACCUAAGAGAGACGAAUUGGACUUAGAAGUUUUUCUAGGUUUUCAAGGUGGAAGCUUUGGCUUUCUGGCUCACAGGGACGUUAUCGGGACCACCACGCAGAAUGAGUACCAAAAAAAUUAUUCUCACCAGGUUGUUCUUUCUUCCUGGAUCCAAACCACCGGAGCUGCACUUUCUGGUUGGGAAGGGCAGGCAACGAUGGAUGUGGUGACUGAAUGGCAGCAAAAAACUUUUCAGUCAAAUGUUCAAAUCGUAAAACUGUCAACUUUUUUCCUGCAACGAGGAGCAAUGAGAGAAAGAUGGAAAACUACAGAUCAAUGUCGUUUUCAGCAGAGAAAGAAGUUUCUGGCAAGCAGAGCUUUUUAACAUGGAAGAGGCUGCGUUGGGAGGCAAUGAACUCCUCAUCACUGGGAGAGGUUCAUGCAGAAACUGGAUAAUCAGCUGCCAGAAUGUCUUCUCCAGUUCAACACAAUUAAGCACUUGUUACAUGCACCGGCCUAUAGACUGAAAGGGGAUUCCUCCAUUGAGUGGGAGGUUGGGUUUGAUAAUCCCACAGGACCCAUUACAAUUCAAAGAUUCUCUAAUUGAAUGAUUUUAUCACAUCUUGGAUCAAAACUGUUUUUCACACAGAUGACAAGAACAGAGUUUCACCGCUUUAUAAUGUUUGAUGUUUAAUAAUAUAAGACAUAGUUUUAAGAGCUCAGCUUUUGGAGGCAGUGAUCUGAGUUCAGAUGCUGGUUCUGCCACAUAUGGGCUAUGUGACUUUGAGCAAAUGAAUGAACUAAUCUGAACCUCAGUUUUUCCCAACUGUAAGAUGAGGGUGCUAAUACUUGAAACCAGCUCAUAAUGCAGUGAGGAUUAAGUGAGAUGAUCUACAUAAAGUGCUUAGCAUGAUGUUUAGAACAUGGUAAAUGCUCAAUAAACAUUACCACCAGGCUUUA